This 221-nucleotide long non-coding RNA is filed under the name Lathyrus oleraceus (garden pea). RNAcentral's name for it is "Pisum sativum (pea) long non-coding RNA (PSAT_LNC027807)". Lineage: Eukaryota; Viridiplantae; Streptophyta; Magnoliopsida; Fabales; Fabaceae. The record is from RNAcentral.
AUAUUAUUAUGUCUACUUUUCCCUUCUUUUUGAUUAUAACAAAGGGGGAGAAGAUGUAUGUAUAUGUGUUGUGCUUGGAUUGUUUAAUGCAGGGGGAGUUUUGUAUGUGAUCAUCUCUAAGACGAUAUGGGGAGUAUGAGUUCAAACUCUAUUUGGCUGUCAUCAUCAAAAAGGGGGAGAAUGUGAAGACAAGCCUCCUACAAGGUUUUGAUGAAGACAAC